RNAcentral lists this unclassified non-coding RNA (240 nucleotides) under soil metagenome. RNAcentral's name for it is "partial contains 5.8S ribosomal RNA, internal transcribed spacer 2, and large subunit ribosomal RNA". The record is from RNAcentral.
AACCAUAGAAACCUGCGGAGUACCUGCGGAAGGAUCAUUACAGAGUAUAAAAACUCCUAAACCCAUGUGAACUUACCAGUAUUGUUGCCUCGGCGUGUGCUGGUGUUCGGCGGUAGCUACCCGGGACCUACCCGGGACCGUGUAGCUACCCGGCACCUCAAGGCCCGCCGGUGGUCCAAAACUUAACUCUUGAUAUAUCGUGACAUUCUGAAUUUCAAAACUUAAUAAGUUAAAACUUUC